GACACGGAGCGACGGAUUGAGCGCGCAUGUCGGUUCAUGCAAGAUUUUAAGCACACCGACACACCGAAACGUUUCGCUGCCAACC
This 85-nucleotide non-coding RNA is filed under the name Ctenophora environmental sample. Lineage: Eukaryota; Metazoa; Ctenophora. The record is from RNAcentral.